UCCUGACCGCGUGACUGGCGCAAAAGGAUGGAGAACCAUCGGGGAGCGCGGGUGCAGAUGCCGCGCGCCUGGGCGACUCAC
Molecule: non-coding RNA, 81 nt
Filed under: Sphingobium wenxiniae LL03
Lineage: Bacteria; Pseudomonadati; Pseudomonadota; Alphaproteobacteria; Sphingomonadales; Sphingobiaceae
Description: Sphingobium sp. LL03 ZMP/ZTP riboswitch aptamer (pfl RNA motif)
Rfam family: ZMP/ZTP riboswitch aptamer (pfl RNA motif)
About the family: Previously known as pfl RNA.
Source: Rfam by way of RNAcentral